UGGACUUGAACUUGAUUUGAAUGCAAGGGCUUGAGUAGCUUGAUCUUGAAUCUUCGUCUUUGGACUUGAAUUUGAAUGUUAAUUCGUCAUAAACACUUGGAUGGUUGCCACGAUUGAUGAAUAUGAACAAGUAACUUGAUCUUGAACAAAAUUUCCUUCUCUCUUGAUCUUGAACUUGAUCUUGAGCUUGAUUAUUUUAAAUUUAUAACUUGCAGAGAAAUUAUAGUUUUUGAUCCACGAGCUCUCUUCUUGCUUUUUGUUUCUC
This 265-nucleotide long non-coding RNA is filed under the name Capsicum annuum. Its description in RNAcentral is "long non-coding RNA (CANN_LNC014799)". Lineage: Eukaryota; Viridiplantae; Streptophyta; Magnoliopsida; Solanales; Solanaceae. The record is from RNAcentral.